GUCCACGUAAGGAAGCUCGCUGUAGCCCUCUCGUGCGUGUUCGUACAGGAGGUUCCGAACUCGUUUCUCUGUAGCGAAAUUCCUCCUUGGGUUCUGGUUGCACACGCUGCGUCCUCGGGACCGGAGCCCCUGGCGGGCCAGGAAAGGCCACAAGAGCCGUGCCAUGGACGCAGCCAUCUUGGAUUGGAAACCAGAAGUCACUCAUCAUGGACGAGCCAAUUAGACGCGCCAGGAGAUUUCCCGCCCAGGCUUCAGAAACCCUUCCAAUGAGGAAAAUUGAACUCAAAUAGAACCUGUCAUGGUCCAAUCGCCAUCCUUAUCCCGCCCCUUCAAGUGACGCAGGAAAGAUGUAGCCAACCACUAAAAAGAAACUCCGGAAGGGGCUGGAGAGAGGAGUUGGUGUGUGUACGACCCCGCUAGGUUGGUGAGGGACGCAGCAGGCGGCGCAAUGCCUUGGCCCAGCCUCCUUUCUGGCCUCACCACUUCCCUCAGUCGUGGCCUAGCCCUAGCUCCCCAGCUCUGGGCCACCCGAUCCAUGACCACCCUGAACCAGAUGCACCGCCUAGGCCGCCCGAAGGAACCCCCUAAGCGUCUGGGCCCCACCGAGGGCCGGCCCCAGGUCAAGGGUGUGGUGUUGCGCACAUUCAUCAGGAAGCCAAAGAAGCCCAACUCCGCCAACCGCAAGUGCUGCCGAGUGCGCCUCAGCACAGGCAAAGAGGCUGUCUGCUUCAUCCCCGGGGAGGGCCACACCCUGCAGGAGCACCACGUGGUCCUCGUGGAGGGGGGUCGCACCCAGGACCUGCCUGGGGUUAAACUCAAAGUUGUGAGGGGCAAAUAUGACUGCGGCCACGUGCAAAAGAAGAAAUGACCAUAAUCCACAGUGGUCUAGUACUCGAUCCUUGGAAACUGGCACUUCCUGCUCCAGGGGCAGCUGGUCUCAGGCUCAGAUCUCACUGUGACCCAGCAAGACUGCUACUGACCUACAGGAGUUCUGAAGAUACCUGUCAGCUGGGGACUACAAAGUCACCUCUGGUUUUAACACCAUCCAGAAGAAGGCAGUGUAUUCCGGAAGUCCCACCCAGACUGGUCAGCCAGGACAGACGGAUCCUGACCCGUACACUGGAGUGAGUCACAAGGGCACCGUAGUGUCCUACCCAGGAACGAGUGUCUCUUCCAUACUGCUCAAAAGACACAUACCGGAUGCCCUUGCCAAGGUCAGUGAAGACAUGAGAGACCUGUGGGACAGGAAACAGACAGAGCGAGGCUGGCGGACAGCAGGGAGGUCACCAGUGAAAGGAGGGGCUAGGUGCUGAAGACCUAGUGUGCACAAGGGCAGUGGGCGUUCUCCAGGAGGGAGGCAGGUAAGUGUGAAAAUGAACAAGGGAACUCCUCAUGGGGGUGAUGUUGGAGGAGAGAUCAGAGGCCUGGGAGCCAUGUGAGGUUCUGGAAAAAGCGUUGCAUAUGAUAAACAGUUGCAAAGACUCUGAGGUAAGAGUGCCUGCAGCAGCCUGAGGGGAGAGUAGAAGUGGGCUCGGUAAUGAGACCAUGUGGGGCUUUAGGGGACAGGAUGAGCCAAAACCUUGGCACCUCUCAAUUUUAUCUCCAUUCGUUUGUUACUGAUUGAUUGAGAGAGGUUGGGGACUACAAAGUCACCUCUGGUUUUAACACCCUCCAAUAGAAGGCAGUGUAUUCCGAAAGUCCCACCCAGACUGGUCAGCCAGGACAGACGGAUCCUGACCCGUACACUGGAGUGAGUCACAAGGGCACCGUAGUGUCCUACCUGCAGGCCUGCCUGGCCUCAGACUCACAAAGAUCUAUCUGACUCUCUCUCCAGCACCUCUCCAGUGCUGGAAUUAAAAGGCCUGCGCUGCCACUUAUUGAAACAGAGUUUCAGGUAGCUCAGGCUGGCCAUGAACUCCUGAUCCUCCCACCUCAGUCUCCUAAGUGCUGUGAUCUGAAGUGUGUACAAUCAGGCCUGGCUCCUGCAUGUUUUUGUGAGAUUUAAGGCCACUCAGGCUUUCUGUGCCUCAACUUCUCAGUUGCCUGUUAGGAUAGUAACAGGCCAAGUUCAUGCAUUACAGCACCUUUAAGGGUACCUCGAACAUAGUAGGUCUUCAAUAAAUAUUGCAUGACUGGGCCGUUGCUCUAAUAAAAUGGAUUAAUUAAUCAGUAAACAUCUUGGAACAGAGCCUAGAUGGAAUGUAAGGGCAGAGAUCUCAUCAGUGAAACCGGAAGUCAGCAGGGUGACUGUUGUGUGCAGGCACCAUGGAGCUGGCCAGGGCUGAGUGGACAGUCAGGACUCACUUGUCGGCAGCUCCUCUCCGUCCAC
This is an RNA transcript of Mastomys coucha (southern multimammate mouse), 2329 nucleotides long. It is a transcript of the gene named mitochondrial ribosomal protein S12, with no coding region annotated. The record is from RefSeq and is a predicted model, not a curated record. NCBI's taxonomy places the organism in Eukaryota, Metazoa, Chordata, Mammalia, Rodentia, Muridae. The transcript has 4 exons.